This 21-nucleotide ribosomal RNA is filed under the name Epimedium chlorandrum. The record is from RNAcentral. Lineage: Eukaryota; Viridiplantae; Streptophyta; Magnoliopsida; Ranunculales; Berberidaceae.
GGAUGCGACCAUACCAGCACU